Molecule: unclassified non-coding RNA, 421 nt
Filed under: Hevea brasiliensis (rubber tree)
Lineage: Eukaryota; Viridiplantae; Streptophyta; Magnoliopsida; Malpighiales; Euphorbiaceae
Source: RNAcentral
AUUGUUAAUAGCCAAAUGAGCUUUAUUUGAAGUCAAAAAAAUUUAAAGAAAAGAAAAGAACGAUCUGUUGGUCCAAAGUUGUGGGUGUUUAUAUACUUUUAAUAUAACAUGUAGCGGAAGUUAUAUGCAUGAGAUGCAUGUCAAACUAAAAUCUUCUGAAGUGGGUGAAAAAUGAAAACAGGAAAAACUCAGGCAUACAUUCACUGAUUCGCAGAUGCAGAAUGCAUGUUCCAGAGGAUAAAUUCUUAGAUAGUUUGCAUUUUGUUGCUGAUCUUCUCCACCUUGUUGUUUGCUGCAUGAGUUACAAAAUAUGUAGCAUUUAAUUUAGCCUUUUGGCUGUGGUCGAACAUAAUUAAGAUCAAAUCAUCAUCUUAGCUGAUCUCAGUUUGCUUUGUAUUGAUAUUGUUAUGUGUGAAUCUUA